AACGAACGCUGGCGGCGUGGAUAAGACAUGCAAGUCGAACGGGACCAGGUUUGUAGCAAUACAGGUUUGGUUCAGUGGCGCACGGGUGCGUAACACGUGAGCAAUCUGCCGGGAAGUGGGGGAUAGCUCGCCGAAAGGCGAAUUAAUACCGCAUAUGGCCAUCCUUUGAUUAAAGGAAAAGCCAAAGCAGCAAUGCGCUUCCUGAUGAGCUCGCGGCCUAUCAGCUAGAUGGCGGGGUAACAGCCCACCAUGGCUUUGACGGGUAGCUGGUCUGAGAGGACGACCAGCCACACUGGAACUGAGAUACGGUCCAGACACCUACGGGUGGCAGCAGUCGAGAAUUUUUCACAAUGGGGGCAACCCUGAUGGAGCGACGCCGCGUGGAGGAUGAAGGCCUUCGGGUUGUAAACUCCUGUCAUGCGGGAACAAGUCAGUGAUAGUACCGCAAGAGGAAGAGACGGCUAACUCUGUGCCAGCAGCCGCGGUAAUACAGAGGUCUCAAGCGUUGUUCGGAUUCAUUGGGCGUAAAGGGUGCGUAGGUGGUGACGCAAGUCUGGUGUGAAAUCUCGGAGCUUAACUCCGAAAUUGCACCGGAUACUGCGUAACUCGAGGACUGUAGAGGAGAUCGGAAUUCACGGUGUAGCAGUGAAAUGCGUAGAUAUCGUGAGGAAGACCAGUUGCGAAGGCGGAUCUCUGGGCAGUUCCUGACACUGAGGCACGAAGGCCAGGGGAGCAAACGGGAUUAGAUACCCCGGUAGUCCUGGCAGUAAACGGUGCACGUUUGGUGUGGGCGGGUUCAGACCCCGUCCGUGCCGGAGCUAACGCGUUAAACGUGCCGCCUGGGAAGUACGGUCGCAAGAUUAAAACUCAAAGAAAUUGACGGGGGCCCGCACAAGCGGUGGAGUAUGUGGCUUAAUUCGAUGCAACGCGAAGAACCUUACCUGGCCUUGACAUGCAUUGUGUCCCCGGUGAAAGCCGGGUAGCUGGUAGCAAUAUCAGCGCCUUGCACAGGUGCUGCAUGGC
This 1023-nucleotide ribosomal RNA is filed under the name uncultured bacterium. Its description in RNAcentral is "bacterial SSU rRNA". It matches the Rfam family "Bacterial small subunit ribosomal RNA", at positions 28 to 1049 of the family's 1533-position model. The record is from RNAcentral.